Molecule: long non-coding RNA, 323 nt
Organism: Salvia miltiorrhiza (redroot sage)
Lineage: Eukaryota; Viridiplantae; Streptophyta; Magnoliopsida; Lamiales; Lamiaceae
Exons: 2
Source: RefSeq, a predicted model, not a curated record
ACACACUCACGCACCUCGGAUUGAGCUUAGGGCAAGAACACGACGAAAAUGCAGGGAAAAGGCUGGGAUUUUUGGGGGCAGCUCUAUCCACUUGUACGGUGUCGUAUUGGGAGUGUGUAUAGAUACGGAAACUGCUCUUGGCCCUGAGUGGUGAGGGAUAACGUGCGCCGAGGGGGCGGACGGAGUGGACUCGUCACGUGCGGUUACCUUCUGUACAAUUCCAUGUUUUUAUUUAUUUAUAAAUAAUCGGAUCUUCCUCUGAGUUGUUUGGAUCUUUCUUUUUACCUCUUUUACGAUGUAAAACUUUUUGGCGGUGAAAAGGU